This 359-nucleotide ribosomal RNA is filed under the name Acanthamoeba sp. RNAcentral describes it as "SSU rRNA". The stretch from base 1 to 314 matches the Rfam family "Eukaryotic small subunit ribosomal RNA", at positions 811 to 1116 of the family's 1831-position model. The record is from RNAcentral. Lineage: Eukaryota; Discosea; Longamoebia; Acanthamoebidae.
GGAAUAGGACCCUGUCCUCCUAUUUUCAGUUGGUUUUGGCAGCGCGAGGACUAGGGUAAUGAUUAAUAGGGAUAGUUGGGGGCAUUAAUAUUUAAUUGUCAGAGGUGAAAUUCUUGGAUUUAUGAAAGAUUAACUUCUGCGAAAGCAUCUGCCAAGGAUGUUUUCAUUAAUCAAGAACGAAAGUUAGGGGAUCGAANACGAUCAGAUACCGUCGUAGUCUUAACCAUAAACGAUGCCGACCAGCGAUUAGGAGACGUUGAAUACAAAACACCACCAUCGGCGCGGUCGUCCUUGGCGUCGGUCUUUCGGGGCCGGGGCGGGGGCGGCUUAGCCCGGUGGCACCGGUGAAUGACUCCCUA